This is a non-coding RNA of Paracoccus yeei, 74 nucleotides long. The record is from Rfam. NCBI's taxonomy places the organism in Bacteria, Pseudomonadati, Pseudomonadota, Alphaproteobacteria, Rhodobacterales, Paracoccaceae.
CGCGGGGUAGAGCAGCCCGGUAGCUCGUCAGGCUCAUAACCUGAAGGCCGCAGGUUCAAAUCCUGCCCCCGCAA